AGUAAAGCAGAUAGAAAGAACUCACGCAAAUCUAUCCUACAACACGCACAGACAGUGCAGGGGAGUGAGCACGCACACAGGUCUUUUAUGAUUGUUUGCGUGAUGGUGUCUUGCUAAUUCACUGAAGAAAGACAUAUGAUUAUGGAUAGAAAGAAUAUUCUGAAAAGGAAAGGAUUAAGGCAAUGAGGAGCAAGGCUAAAGCAGUGGAAGACUCAUGUUGCUCUAUCAGCAGAUGAGAAGGACCUGAGAGUGCCACUGACGACAUGACUGCUUCAUAGGCUGCUCACAGAUCUCCGGGAGAAGUUCCUUCGACACAAAUCCAGCAUUACAUUCUACCCUGUAGGCUUGACCAGCCUCUAUGAAAAUGACAGGCCUUUGGAUGACAUUUUCCAUCAUAUCUUGGGAGCUCCAGUGAUCCAGUAGUAAAUGAAUGAGUGCCUUCUUGUUUUCAUCGUUUGUGAGAAAGGCAUCUAAUCAGCGGGGCGAUGAACAUUCAGCCCAUUCACAAUAAAACGUUCACCACAGCCUCUGCGAUCUCUCUCAGCUGAUUUUGGUGAAUGAAGAUGGUUCACCGGUUGCCUGGGAUCUGUGACCUUGAAACACAAGAGAAACAGGUUCCUCCUCUAGGCCAAUGUGCUCUCAUUCAGGAUGGAAAUUCCUCAUUGUACAUGCG
Molecule: long non-coding RNA, 673 nt
Organism: Alosa alosa (allis shad)
Lineage: Eukaryota; Metazoa; Chordata; Actinopteri; Clupeiformes; Clupeidae
Exons: 3
Source: RefSeq, a predicted model, not a curated record